GACGAACGCUGGCGGCGUGCCUAAUACAUGCAAGUCGAACGCAGUUGCGCACGGGUGAUUAACGCGUCUGUACCUGCCUCAUAGCAGGGGGUCACUAUUGGAAACGAUAGCUAAUACCGCAUACUGUGAUAUGUCCCUGCGUUGUUUUGGCUGUUUUGUGAGGUAAAGGCUCACCAGGGUGGCUAUACAUAGCCGACCUGAGAGGUAGAUCGGACAACCGGGGAGUGAGACACGGCCUACACUACUAAGGGAGGAAGCAGUAGGGAAUCUUCGGGAAUGGAGCGAAGUCGGACCGAGCAAAGCCGCGGGAGUGAAGAAGGUGUUAGGAUCGUAAAGCUAUGUUGUUAGAGAAGCGGUAACUAACCAGAAAGGGACGGCUAACUACGUGCCAGCCGCCGCGGUAAUAC
This 407-nucleotide ribosomal RNA is filed under the name uncultured bacterium. RNAcentral's name for it is "partial 16S ribosomal RNA". It matches the Rfam family "Bacterial small subunit ribosomal RNA", at positions 28 to 526 of the family's 1533-position model. The record is from RNAcentral.